Molecule: long non-coding RNA, 793 nt
Organism: Salvelinus namaycush (lake trout)
Lineage: Eukaryota; Metazoa; Chordata; Actinopteri; Salmoniformes; Salmonidae
Exons: 6
Source: RefSeq, a predicted model, not a curated record
GAUUUCUAUUCCAAGAGAAGAGAUUGUCUGGGAUCCAACUCUGCACAGAUGGGUUAACAAAACUGAGCCCAAGGCUGAGAACAAGUGUGUACCACCACCUCCACCGAUGGGGACAUAUGGAUAUCAGGGGAACACUGGCAGUGUCCCCAAAGGAGUGAAUCCUUACUCUAUGAAAGCAGCAGGUCUAUGGGGCAGCAGAUACCCUACAAUGAAUUACAAUGAUAGGACCAACUCAAAGCCUCCAAGCCAUGGGCCUGGACUGCUUCCUAGACAGCUCUCUGGCUUGCUCCCUCCUUCACACUUUGACCUCAUGGCACCAAUGGUUGUGCCACCUGACACUCUACCCUACUGAGGUGCGAGGGCCAUCCUGUGCCACCAGUCAAUUGAUGGUGGAUGACCUUCUGACCCCGUGCUCGCCAGGUGACCCGGCUGCCAUAGAAUUGACCUGGAUGGAUGUGCCUAGCGACAAGCUGCUGUAGCCCAUCUGCAUGUCCGACAUGCUGCCCUCACUAUAUACCACGCAACCCACAGUCAACAUGGAGGUCUUGUUCAAGGUCAGGAAGUUCACAGAGGACUUAGAACAGGAGGGUUGAGAGCUCCUGGGUGGCAGGGGCUUUACUACUUCUUACUCAGUCUCUCCUAUCAAGACCCAACUCCAGUCAAAGAGUAGCUACAGUAUUACAGCAGUAUUACAACACUACGAACCUGCAUUGGCAAGAAUGAUGGAGCAUUUUAAUUUACACACAAUUGUGCAAUGGAAAUGUUUUUUUUUUUGCAUAUCCCAACUCCCCCU